CUGAAGUGAGGGCUAGAAAAUUCGUCUCUGUAGCUUCGAAGUUCAGACCCAAAAAUCUCUGUCCAUCGUCUUCCUCUCCUUCGUUCUAUUCUCAUCAUUGGUGAAACUGAAGGAUCGUCGCUGCUCUUACACGUUCAGGUCGCCGAAGCUGGGUACUGAUCACGAGCUUGAUCUAAUGCUGAGUCUGUUCUUUUUCUCUCUUUCGAGUGUUGCUCUGUCUUCCUCUUCCUUGUUCAGACGAAAAUCCUGUCUUCUCUCCUUAUUCUAUCGGCAGCUUCUUGAUCUCUCCCUCCUUUGCUGUUAUUGGUGAUUGAGGUGCGAUUGAACUUCAUUUGAAAUAACCUUCAGUUGCUUGGUGUGAUAACAUAAGCAUGGCGGCAAUGGCAUCUAAUCAUGCUCUCCAUGCUUGAUCAAAACACAUUGAAUUAGGUGGGUCUCAUUACAAGAAAUAAGAAAAAACAAAUAUACACUCUCAUUUCAAUUCAAAAUUCAUUAAAAAAAUGGAACUUCUUUCCAAUGCUGACAUAAUGAGCAUGCAAAUAAAUAAAGAAUAUAGAGAAUCAUGUUGAAAUAUUACAAAUAGAUAAAGGGCUUCUGUU
Prosopis cineraria is the source of this 599-nucleotide long non-coding RNA. RefSeq lists it as uncharacterized. NCBI's taxonomy places the organism in Eukaryota, Viridiplantae, Streptophyta, Magnoliopsida, Fabales, Fabaceae. The record is from RefSeq and is a predicted model, not a curated record. The transcript is spliced from 3 exons.